GCGUUGAAACACCUGUUCACGUACGAGCACUGAAAUUAAGCAACGUCGAGCUUAGUCAGUACAUAGAUGGGUGAUCAUCUGGGAUAGAGCAGGAGCUGUAA
Molecule: non-coding RNA, 101 nt
Organism: Acanthosepion pharaonis
Lineage: Eukaryota; Metazoa; Mollusca; Cephalopoda; Sepiida; Sepiidae
Source: the annotation of a GenBank genome assembly